GAUGAACGCUGGCGGCGUGCCUAAUACAUGCAAGUCGAGCGAACAGACGAGGAGCUUGCUCCUCUGACGUUAGCGGCGGACGGGUGAGUAACACGUGGAUAACCUACCUAUAAGACUGGGAUAACUUCGGGAAACCGGAGCUAAUACCGGAUAAUAUAUUGAACCGCAUGGUUCAAUAGUGAAAGACGGUUUUGCUGUCGCUUAUAGAUGGAUCCGCGCCGCAUUAGCUAGUUGGUAAGGUAACGGCUUAGCAAGGCAACGAGGGGUAGCCGACCUGAGAGGGGGGUCGGCCACACUGGCAGUGAGGCAGGGUCCAGACUCCGGCGGGAGGGCGCGGUGGGGAAUCUUCCGCGAUGGGCGAAAGCCUGACGGAGCAACGCCGCGUGAGUGCUGAAGGUCUUCGGAUCGUAAAACUCUGUUAUUAGGGAAGAACAAAUGUGUAAGUAACUAUGCACGUCUUGACGGUACCUAAUCAGAAAGCCACGGCUAACUCCGUG
RNAcentral lists this ribosomal RNA (497 nucleotides) under uncultured bacterium. RNAcentral's name for it is "partial 16S ribosomal RNA". It matches the Rfam family "Bacterial small subunit ribosomal RNA", at positions 28 to 507 of the family's 1533-position model. The record is from RNAcentral.